ACCCUAGAGAACGAAGAUACAACCUAGAAUCCAAUUCCGAAGGAGAUUUGAGGCAAAAUUUCAUCAUUCUACUUAAUCUUUUGUUUUCCAUUAUGGCUAGACAAUUAGAAUUCAUUUAUUUGCUGUUAUUUACCUCAAUCAUGAGCUAAAACUCUUAAACUUCUGUUUGGGGAUACAAAAUUGAGACUAUGGUUUGAUUAUUGGUAGGGUUAAUUCAAUGUUCGUGAUUUUUGUUAUUUUUAGCUUGCUAAAGAACCUUGUGUGUGAAUGAUAAUUAAUUUUCUGUUAAUAGGAAGGUAAUUAAAUAGUAUGAACAUCUUUUGAUUAUCAACCUCAUAUGUUUGUGUGACCACUUUAUCAUAUGUCUAGGAAUAAUGAACAUGAAACUAGAAUUAAUAAGAAAAUUAGGUAAAUUCAUGUGUGAGCUUGUGUGAUGACCAUCAACCAGAAGUUAACUAAAGGACCAAAUUAGUAAACUAUUGCAAGUCUAAAUUAACCCGAAUAAUUAAUCUAGUGAAUUUAGUUAAAUUAGACAACUGAUCACUGUUUGAGUUAGUUUGUUCAGUAAGGGUUAGUGUAGCGAACGCGAAGCUAAUCAUUUGAGCCGGUAGCCAACAAAAGAGUUGAUCCAUUGCACUAUUACCACAAUAUCAACCAUAGGAUCAAUUGAUUUGAACUAAACAGAAGUCCUUCCGGUUAUUGAAUCUAGUUAAUUCUUUGUUUUUCUAGCUUUUAGAUUAAGUGAUAAUUAGUAAGUUUCUAGUCUUGUAAAACUAGAGAAAACCCCUAUUCAUUAAUUAAUUUAAAUAAAAUUAGCUUUUAGUUUUAAUUUACCGUUCCCUGUGUUCGAUACCCUAUUUAUUUAGCUAUACCAUAAUUGAUAGGUCCACUGCCUUUGUGUGUUUAUUUUAUAAAAGUAGGUUUAAAACUAAGUGAGUUUACACACAUCAAGUUUUUGGCGCCGUUGCCGGGGAACGGUUCAAAUAGUGAAUUUUAUUUGCUAAUUGUUAUCAUUUUUAUUUUAUUGAUUUUUUUAUAUAGUUUAAUUUUUAUUUUUUUUAAUUUUUAUAUUAUGUAUUUUCCAAAUCUCGAUGCUUUUGAUGCUUUUCUUGAGGAAGUAGUGCAGGAAAUUGAGCAAGAAGAUGAGGAGUAUGACUCAGAUGAUGAUUUGAAGAAAUUUGGAAGAUGGUUAGAUAACUUCUUCACUAACGAACAAGAGCAAUCUGAGUCACAAGAGCUAAAUUUUGUAGAUGAAGAAUUUAAUCCAGAAAGAGAUUUGGAGGAGCUGGAAAGGUUGUUGGCAGAAGGGUCAGAUGAAGAACAAGAACAAGUUGAAUUCCAGGAACCAAGUUUUCGUUUGACCAUUACUACGACGAGGCCCCCUGUUCUUCCGGUUUGUGUUUUGAAGCGUGGGGUGACGACUCCAACUUUGGAGAAAGUUCUGAAGCGCGAUCCAUUUCUGAUUAGUACCCGACCGGUCCCAACCCUUGUCGGAAUUCUUGGGUUUUACGUAUUUAAGCUCGUUUGGCCAAUUUUAGAAGAAAAGAGCCAAAUUUUACAAAUUGGUCCAAAGAAAAUAUUUAAUGUAAUGGAUGGAUGGGCAUCGAAUUUAUUAGAAGUUUAUGAAGUUGGGAAUCUAGCUAAAGACUCGCACAAAAAGAAGCGCUUGCGGGAGGCAACCUGUCAUUAGAGUUUGCUUUUCUUUUUCUUUUUAAACUUCUAGUUUAUUAGGGUAAUUUAGGAAUUUAAUUUUGAUGUUUAUUUUCCUUUUUCUAUUUCAUGUGUGUUGUCUUGAUCUUUUUGAGUUUGAAGCUUAGGAUUGCAUGUGAGGGUCUAGAUUCAAGGCUGACGAAGCCAGAAAUGGAGUCUAGGCGAAUGAGGAAACGAAUUUUUGAGUCAAGCUAUGAGUCCAAUUGAUAGAAGGUUAUAGAGUGUUUAUUCCCUGAAGAAAAAUGAGGGAAAUUAUUAUUUUAUAUAACCCCCAUACAUCAUAAACGGACUUGGGUAGAAUAAAUUUUUUUGUCACACAGCGGUCUACUUGCCGAGUGCAUCUUAUCGACUCACCGAGUGCAUGUGAAAAUUCACAAUUCUUCUGCCAUUUACGUUUCAACUCGGCGAGUCUACAUACUUACUUGAUGAUUCGCUCAUUCUUCUUACUUUUGAGCUGAAGAUUUGAUGACAUUUGAUAUGGGCAUUGGUUCUAUUCUUUGAAGAUCAUUUUCCAAGCAUUUCCAAGAGUUUUUCCCUUAUAUUUGGAGCUUUUAUAAAGAUUGUACCACACGAUAUGUUUGACACCGAAGGCACGGAUGAGCUGUUCCCAUGUCUAAAGUCAGCUGAAGAUGGAGCUAUAAAUAAAGAAGUUCAACCUCGCAACUACAAUCCCAGGGGAGUUUGUUCCGAUUCCCUCUUUAUUUUAUUAUUCUUUAUCAUGAAUUAUAUGCAAUGGGGACAUUGCAUGAAUCAAGUGUGGGGUAGGGGGUUGGUUACAUCUUAGUAAAUUUAAAAUCAUAAUUUCCUAAUUUAGGUCUAUUUAAAAAAAAAUUCAACACUUGCAUACCAAAAAUGUUACUUAGGACUUAAUUUAGAAAAUUUUGGUAAAAAUAAAAUUAGGAUUCCAUGUUAGAAUUAUGUUGAUGAUUACAUGAAAACUCCAAUGUUUAGUUGAGCCUAUAUGCGUUCUAGUGCAUUUGUGGCUUUCUUAUUCCAGUGAAAUCAUGGGACAAAACACGACCUUGCUUAGCCCGAGGGAUGCAAUAUGUUUAGCAUCGUGUACCAGAAAUGUAUCCAGGAAAAUUAUUAUCGUUAGCCAAUAAAGGUUGAGGUUGAGUGCCCCUGCUUAAGCAUGUAGGAUUUUGAGUGAAAAAAGUGAGGUACAUGUUAAAAAAAAAGAGAAUUGCAAGAAAAACUGGAGAAUUUUGGAGCAAUUAAAGUGAAGAUCAAAAGAUCAAAAUUCCAUGAAAUUCACCAACUGAAGAUACCAAAAAUCAAACAACAAAGGUGGUGAAUUCAAAGAAAUCAAAGAUCAAAUUAUCAAGGAAGUGAAGAAUUCAAAAGAGCUCCAUAGUGGUAUCAUAAAUUGUAAUUCUAGAUUAUGUAUGCUUGGGUUGCUCAACUAAAAAUACCUUGAGGGUAGGAGGUGUUCUGCGGAUGGAUUCGGAGGGAUGCAAAAAAUGAGCAUUGUUCGUGAUAAGUGGGCGAAUGUUUAUGAGGAUUGUGAGUAUUUGGAGUAUGGGGGUAUUCAGGAAAAUUUUUAGACACAAAUGUAUGCGUUGCGGUCUUGGCAUAAUGGUUGGGUUAGAUUGGAGUUGNUGUUUAUGUAAUUCUAAUGUGUUAAAAUUCAGUUUUGCUUGGGGGCAAGCAAAAGUCAAGUGUGGGGUAUUUUGAUAUUUUCAUAUUUAGUUCAUAUUAAGUAUAGAUUUUUUUAUCACUUAUUAGCUAAAUUAUUGCAUAUCAUGGACAAAAGGUACUUAAAAGUGUUUGAAUUAUGUUUUCGGUCAAAAAGUGAAGCUUGGAAGCAAAAGGAAGUAGGAGAAGCGGUUGGGAGCUCGGGAAUUGAACAAAGAAGAAAACCACCAAAAAAACAACACCUACUCGGCGAGUAGGGUCACCUACUCGGCGAAUAGGGUCAUCUACUCAGAGACUUAUUGCAUAUGGGGAUUAAGAGAUGGACUCGGCGAGUCAGCAAUGGAUUCGGCGAGACUUAUUGCAUAUGGGGAUCAUGGAACCCUUCUGGAGAGAUUAGCUACGAUUGAAGAGCCAGAAGAACCCUAGAGAACGAAAAUACAACCUAGAAUCCAAUUCCGAAGGAGAUUUGAGGCAAAAUUUCAUCAUUCUACUUAAUCUUUUGUUUUCCAUUAUGGCUAGACAAUUAGAAUUCAUUUAUUUGCUGUUAUUUACCUCAAUCAUGAGCUAAAACUCUUAAACUUCUGUUUGGGGAUACAAAAUUGAAACUAUGGUUUGAUUAU
RNAcentral lists this long non-coding RNA (3965 nucleotides) under Lactuca sativa (garden lettuce). RNAcentral describes it as "long non-coding RNA (LSAT_LNC002677)". The record is from RNAcentral. Lineage: Eukaryota; Viridiplantae; Streptophyta; Magnoliopsida; Asterales; Asteraceae.